UCUUGUCGCCUUUUAUAGCGGUAUUGCAGUAGGUAUAAAGUUAUCUACAAUUGUUAAAUACUUUCCGGAAAUGGGUUGUUUUUAUUUAAAUCAUUAGAUGAGACUCUAUGCAAACAACAACUACUACAAAACAUAUAUAUAUAUAUAGUGUUAAUAUCAACAAAAAGAUGUCAUCCUGACAGCAAGCAUUUGAGCAAGUACGGACACAACAUUUAAGCUCAAACAGCUCUAAACAAACACAUUUCAUAUACUUAUGUUAUCAUUACUGGUUCUUAAAAAUAAGUUUUGAGUUAUUUCCCUUUACAUAUAACAGAAAUUGUUUAACUAAUUGUUGAGCUAAUUUUCUAAAGUCAAAUAUGACAUAGUUCUCUAAAAAUAGAUAAGAUGUUACACAAUGUAUAUCUAUGUCUAAAUUAUAUUCAAAUAUAAUUAAAAGUUCCAAAUAUUGCGUCCUUGAUUUGUCACAAAGUAAUAUAGAUUUGCUAUUUAUCCGCUAUAAAACCAGGUUUAAUCCAAUAUUGUCUACAUACGAAAAUGUCUGUACUAAGUAAGGAUAAAGACAGUUGUUGUCCAUUUGUUUGAUGUGUUUAAUCUUUUGAUUUUGCCUUUUGGUUAGGGACUUUCCGAUACGAAUUUUUCUCUAUGUAAUGUAAUGAAAUAUAAUCUUUGCUAAAUGAA
This 678-nucleotide long non-coding RNA is filed under the name Mytilus galloprovincialis (Mediterranean mussel). Lineage: Eukaryota; Metazoa; Mollusca; Bivalvia; Mytilida; Mytilidae. The record is from RNAcentral.